CUUGUAUAGUCCCCACAGUGGGGUUUAGGUUUCAACCUAUAAAGCAAAGGGGACACAAUGCAGUACAUAUCAGCAGGAUUCUCACUACAUACUCCAGGACAGCCUUGAAAUCAUUUUGUAGCCCAGGCUGACCUUGAACUCAUGGUGAUCCUCCUGCGUCAGCCUCUAGAGUACCUAUAUGCACCAUCAGAAAAUCUGAGCUUUUCUUUCUGCUCACGCCUGAAGGAGAAUGUGUCUUCUUGCCUUUUUCCACCUGUCUCUCCUCCAGUAGAACACUUAGCUGGCAACUGUGAAGCAGCUAGGGGAAGAUUCGACUUCCACAGAAAUGACAACUGUCAGGGAGGAAGUCUCCGCUGCUCUGACCUGUUAGUGAGGAUUCCUGCCGUGCCCUUUCCUAGAGCGCCUGAGUGUGCACACACAGAAGGCCCUGCCUGAGGAGCGUUUGACGUCAGUUCAGCACCUGCCUUUCUGCAGCUUGCUGGGCCCUUUUGUUCCUGGAAAUAGUUCCACAGCAUGGCCUGGCCUGGCCUGAAGGACUGCAGCCGUGGGGUCCUUUUCCUUCUCCUACAACACAAAUGGUUGCAUUUGAGAAGCUUGGGAAUGGAAAGGCAGCUUUCUCCCUCUGCACACUUACUUACAUAGCAUUAGAUUUACUACCAACAUCUGCACAGGAGAGGGGAUUAGUCCAGAACCUAGAACACGCUCAAAGGAUUCUUACUGGAAAUCUAGGCUUCACGCUGGGAGACAGAGAAGAUUAGAUUUUGACACCUAUCUCCUUGAAAGUUGAAAAAGGGAGGAAGGGAGGGAGGGAGAGAGAGAAAAAGAGAGAGAGAGAGAGAGAGAGAGAGAGAGAGAG
Molecule: long non-coding RNA, 856 nt
Organism: Chinchilla lanigera (long-tailed chinchilla)
Lineage: Eukaryota; Metazoa; Chordata; Mammalia; Rodentia; Chinchillidae
Exons: 3
Source: RefSeq, a predicted model, not a curated record